This 493-nucleotide ribosomal RNA is filed under the name uncultured bacterium. RNAcentral describes it as "partial 16S ribosomal RNA". The record is from RNAcentral.
GUAGUUAGCCGGGGCUUCCUCCUUGGCUACCGUCACUUUCUUCGUCACCAAGGACAGAGGUUUACAACCCGAAAGCCUUCUUCCCUCACGCGGCGUUGCUGGGUCAGGCUUGCGCCCAUUGCCCAAUAUUCCCCACUGCUGCCUCCCGUAGGAGUCUGGACCGUGUCUCAGUCCCAGUGUGGCCGAUCACCCUCUCAGGUCGGCUACCGAUCGUCGUCUUGGUGGGCCGUUACCUCGCCAACUAACUAAUCGGACGCGAGGCCACCUUUCACCGGAUUGCUCCUUUGACCCCUGAACCAUGUGGCUCUGUGGUCUCAUGCGGUAUUAGCACAACUUUCGCUGCGUUAUCCCCCUGUAAGGGACAGGUUGCUCACGCGUUACUCACCCGUCCGCCGCUAGAACACAUUUCGUAUUACUACUCAUCGUGUCCCCGCUCGACUUGCAUGUGUUAGGCACGCCGCCAGCGUUCGUCCUGAGCCAGAUCAAACUCUGA